Molecule: unclassified non-coding RNA, 272 nt
Filed under: Hevea brasiliensis (rubber tree)
Lineage: Eukaryota; Viridiplantae; Streptophyta; Magnoliopsida; Malpighiales; Euphorbiaceae
Source: RNAcentral
AAGUUGAGAGAAAAUGGCUUAAUUGUUUAGAGAGAAAAUGAUGAGAUUUUAAAAUGAACAAGUCAAGAUAGUUUUUUUGCCCAGAAAAUGGUUUCCUUUUACUGCAUUUCAUGUGAAAGAUGUAGAAAAAAGGCAAAGAUUCUCUGUUGGAAAAGUAAUGGCCUUUACGGUCAUUACAUAACGGUCUGUAGUGGCCAUUAUGUUUAUACAACAGCCAGCUAAAAUCCCUUUAAAUAACGAUUGUUAUGUUAUGUAACGGCUGUUAUUUAAAA